Molecule: ribosomal RNA, 253 nt
Filed under: uncultured bacterium
Lineage: Bacteria
Description: partial 16S ribosomal RNA
Rfam family: Bacterial small subunit ribosomal RNA
Source: RNAcentral
UACGAAGGGGGCUAGCGUUGUCCGGAAUCACUGGGCGUAAAGGGCGCGUAGGUGGCGGGCCAAGUCUGUGGUGAAAGCUCGAUGCUCAACAUCGAGUCGGCCACGGAUACUGGUUCGCUGGAGCACUGUAGAGGCAGAUGGAAUUCCGGGUGUAGCGGUGGAAUGCGUAGAGAUCCGGAAGAACACCGGUGGCGAAGGCGGUCUGCUGGGCAGUUGCUGACACUGAGGCGCGACAGCGUGGGGAGCAAACAGG